UCCUAGUUAACCUAGGCAGUCUCAUUAGAGUUCCCAUCCGAAAUGUUGGCAACUAAUGAUAAGGGUUGCGCUCGUUGCUGGACUUAACCAAACACCUCACGGCACGAGCUGACGACAGCCAUGCAGCACCUGUGCACCGGCCCCGAAGGGAGAUCCAAUUUCUUGGACUGUCCGGUGCAUGUCAAAUCUGGGUAAGGUUCUUCGCGUUGCAUCGAAUUAAACCACAUGCUCCACUGCUUGUGCGGGUCCCCGUCAAUUCUUUUGAGUUUUAGCCUUGCGGCCGUACUCCCCAGGCGGGGCACUUAAUGCGUUAGCUCCGGCACGGGAGGAGUCGACACCUCCCACACCUAGUGCCCAUCGUUUACGGCGUGGACUAC
This 377-nucleotide unclassified non-coding RNA is filed under the name uncultured bacterium. RNAcentral describes it as "contains 16S-23S intergenic spacer region". The record is from RNAcentral.